RNAcentral lists this ribosomal RNA (422 nucleotides) under uncultured bacterium. RNAcentral's name for it is "bacterial SSU rRNA". It matches the Rfam family "Bacterial small subunit ribosomal RNA", at positions 335 to 748 of the family's 1533-position model. The record is from RNAcentral.
ACUCCUACGGGAGGCAGCAGUGGGGAAUAUUGCACAAUGGGCGCAAGCCUGAUGCAGCCAUGCCGCGUGUAUGAAGAAGGCCUUCGGGUUGUAAAGUACUUUCAGCAGUGAGGAAGGUAGUGUAGUUAAUAGCUGCAUUAUUUGACGUUAGCGACAGAAGAAGCACCGGCUAACUCCGUGCCAGCAGCCGCGGUAAUACGGAGGGUGCGAGCGUUAAUCGGAAUUACUGGGCGUAAAAGCGCAUGCAGGUGGUUUGUUAAGUCAGAUGUGAAAGCCCGGGGCUUAACCUCGGAAUUGCAUUUGAAACUGGCAGACUAGAGUACUGUAGAGGGGGGUAGAAUUUCAGGUGUAGCGGUGAAAUGACGUAGAGAUCUGAAGGAAUACGGUGGCGAAGGCGGCCCCCUGGACAGAUACUGACACUC